GCCCUUACACAUGCAAGUCGAGCGAGAAAGUUUCUUCGGAAGCGAGUAAAGCGGCGGACGGGUGAGUAACGCGUAGGAAUCUACCAUUCAGUGGGGGAUAGCUCGGGGAAACCCGAAUUAAUACCGCAUAUACCCUAAGGGGGAAAAAGGGCCUAUCCUUGGAAGCUCUUGCUGUUUGAUGAGCCUGCGUGAGAUUAGUUUGUUGGUGUGGUAAUGGCUCACCAAGACUACGAUCUCUAGCUGGUCUGAGAGGACGAUCAGCCACACUGGGACUGAGACACGGCCCAGACUCCUACGGGAGGCAGCAGUGGGGAAUAUUGGACAAUGGGGGCAACCCUGAUCCAGGCAUGCCGCGUGUGUGAAGAAGGCCUUCGGGUUGUAAAGCACUUUAGGUAAGGAAGAAAAGUUAUUGGUUAAUACCCAAUAACCAUGACAUUACUUACAGAAUAAGGACCGGCUAACUCCGUGCCAGCAGCCGCGGUAAUACGGAGGGUCCAAGCGUUAAUCGGAAUUACUGGGCGUAAAGCGCGCGUAGGCGGUUUGACAAGUUGGGUGUGAAAUCCCCGGGCUUAACCUGGGAACUGCAUUCAAAACUUUUAAACUAGAGUACGGGAGAGGAGAGUAGAAUUCAUGGUGUAGCGGUGAAAUGCGUAGAUAUCAUGAGGAAUACCAAUGGCGAAGGCAACUCUCUGGACCGUAACUGACGCUGAGGUGCGAAAGCGUGGGUAGCAAACAGGAUUAGAUACCCUGGUAGUCCACGCCGUAAACGAUGACAACUAGCCGUUGGACUUUCGAGUUCAGUGGCACAGCUAACGCAUUAAGUUGUCCGCC
RNAcentral lists this ribosomal RNA (831 nucleotides) under uncultured Gammaproteobacteria bacterium. RNAcentral's name for it is "bacterial SSU rRNA". It matches the Rfam family "Bacterial small subunit ribosomal RNA", at positions 45 to 873 of the family's 1533-position model. The record is from RNAcentral. Lineage: Bacteria; Pseudomonadati; Pseudomonadota; Gammaproteobacteria.